GAUGAACGCUGGCGGCGUGCUUAACACAUGCAAGUCGAACGAGAAGUGAAGACGGAAACCUUCGGGCGGAAGGCUUUAUUUCGAGUGGCGGACGGGUGAGUAACGCGUGGGUAACCUGCCUCAUACAGGGGGAUAACAGUUGGAAACGACUGUUAAUACCGCAUAAGACCACAGCACCGCAUGGUGCGGGGUAAAAACUCCGGUGGUAUGGGAUGGAACCGCGUUCGAUUAGCCAGUUGGCGGGGUAACGGCCCACCAAAGCGACGAUCGAUAGCCGAUCUGAGAGGAUGACCGGCCACAUUGGGACUGAGACACGGCCCAAACUCCUACGGGAGGCAGCAGUGGGGAAUAUUGCACAAUGGGGGAAACCCUGAUGCAGCGACGCCGCGUGAGUGAAGAAGUAUUUCGGUAUGUAAAGCUCUAUCAGCAGGGAAGAAAAUGACGGUACCUGAGUAAGAAGCCCCGGCUAACUACGUG
Molecule: ribosomal RNA, 477 nt
Filed under: uncultured bacterium
Lineage: Bacteria
Description: partial 16S ribosomal RNA
Rfam family: Bacterial small subunit ribosomal RNA
Source: RNAcentral